UUACGAUCAUAUCACGUUGAAACACCGCUUCUUGUAUGAUCAGUGAAGUGAAGCAACAUUGAACAUGGUCAGUAGCUUGAUGGGUGACCGCUUGGGAAUGCCAAGUACUGUA
Acanthosepion pharaonis is the source of this 112-nucleotide non-coding RNA. NCBI's taxonomy places the organism in Eukaryota, Metazoa, Mollusca, Cephalopoda, Sepiida, Sepiidae. The record is from the annotation of a GenBank genome assembly.